This is a long non-coding RNA of Myripristis murdjan (pinecone soldierfish), 857 nucleotides long. RefSeq lists it as uncharacterized. The transcript is spliced from 3 exons. Lineage: Eukaryota; Metazoa; Chordata; Actinopteri; Holocentriformes; Holocentridae. The record is from RefSeq and is a predicted model, not a curated record.
GAUCGAACUAUUCAGGUUUGCACGCACCUUCAGAUGGGAGUGAAACAGGCAAUGUGACCGAGGAAAUUAACCUGCACUGACCACACCAUGCUCAGUUGCUACAGUUACAUAAUUUGAGGCUCAUUUUUGUCUUCAUAAGCCUGGCCAGAUGAGGUGAAGAGCUGCACAUCAGAAUGAGCAGCAGAGCCCAGUGGAAAGAAGAUAGGUAUUCUACUUGCAGCCCUCAGUACAAAUGCUACCCACAGCUCAUAUCACCAUGCAGGAAGCAAGCGGCCGUAUCACAUCCACCCAUCCACACGACAUUCCCAGCGCCAACUGUCUGUGACGACACUGCCAAACGAGGUGGGGGGAUGACGGGAGACCAUGAGCACUCCCAUUUACGACACCAGAAACGUGUACCAUUUCAUACCAUGAGCACAGUUUGUACUGAUAGAAUAUCUUUGGUCUAUUCUUCUGUCCUCCUUCAUCUCCCAGCCUGUAUUUCUCCUCGCUCUGUGUGCUGUGUCUGUAGUGAGUGUUUGCUUGCAGCUUCAGUCCAGUCCACUAGGUUCCCCAGUGUUCUCUGUCACUGCACACCUGUUCCCUGUCUGCAGUCAACCCAGCCCUGUGCCUCCCUGCAGCAGCUGUUCCUCAUCACUAAUCAGCCUUCAGCAGUACAGACCAGUCACUUACACAGGAGUCUCUCUGUCAGAUUGUCUAGUGAGUGUCUUAGCUUUCUCAUGUUCCAUGGCCUUGUACCUGUCUGUGGUUACCUGAACCCUCCUCUGCUUGACCUAUGCCUGGCCAGCCUGCCUGCCACUUGCUUUACUCUCAGUAAAGUAUUUUACGCACACCUCUGUGUGUCAGCAAUUGGGUCU